Papio anubis (olive baboon) is the source of this 2268-nucleotide long non-coding RNA. The record is from Ensembl. NCBI's taxonomy places the organism in Eukaryota, Metazoa, Chordata, Mammalia, Primates, Cercopithecidae.
GCACAGGGCAUAAGAAGAGUGUCCUGUUAAUAACCUAGUUGUUUUACAAGCUGUAAAUUUAGGUUGGAUUAGCUACUGUUCUGAACUCAUACAGAAUAUCAAUGAAAAAUGCAAAUAAACCUAAAUGCACAAGCAAUGCACUUAUUGUCAUAUUCAUUCAGCUUUUGUUUUUGACAUCUCUGUGGCUGCUCUGUGAACUCUGUCUUAUCCUCGGAAACCAUUUGUGAAGUUUUUAUUUGGCAUAAAGUAACUUAGGAAACUACUCAUCAAGAAAUAACUUAGGCCAGAGAGAAUUUGAUUUGGUGGAAUAUAAGGUAAAGGCAUUUAUUCCUCACUUCUGAGUAUACUGUUACCUUCCCUUCAUACCUGCCUACCCCCACUCCUGGAUCUAUAAAACAAGUUUAAAAAAUGAAUGAAGAAGUAUAUAAAUAUUAUCAACAAGAAAUAAUAGCUAGUAUUUGUUGAGUUUGUACCAGGCUUUGUGACAUGUAUUUUAUGUGUUAUCUCAUUUGAUAUUCACAACAACAUUUAGGCAGGUUGUAUAUUAUUAUCUAUUUUAUAAAUUGUGAAAAUAAAUAACAGAUGAAGUAGUUAAAUUAUUCAGAGUCACACAGCUAGAAAAUGGUUGACUAGGAUGAAUAUUAAUCUCUUAUAGUUGUGCUUGAUUGCAAAAAUGACUCUAACCUGUCUUUUCUCUGUAUUCACACCCCUCCAUUGUGACUUUGAAGCUUGGUUCAUCAUGGGGUGGAGUGUGUUUUUCCACUGUGAAUCAAGGCUUGCCAUGUGGCUUGCUUGGCUAAUAGGAUGUGAUGAGUGUGACUAUAUGUCACUUCAAGCUUGGGCUGCAAGAGGUAUUGCACAUUUUCAACUCAGGCUUUUGGGACCCUACCUCUGCCAUGAGAACAAGCCAAGGUUAGCUUAUGAGAAGGGGAAUGAUAUGAUCAUCUUUGAAGUUUAAAAAUCAUUCUGGCAUCAGUGAGAGAUUGGAAAAGAAGAGGGUCCCUGGAUUCAGAGUGACCAGUUAGAAAAUGCUCCAGGACCGCGGUGGGAGACGAUGGUGGUCAGACCAGAGUGAUGGUGGUGAAGAUGCUGUGGAAGUGGAAGCUGUCAGAUUUCUAAAAGAAAUUCUGGGAGGUCAUUAGCGAAGAACUCCCACUUCUAGGUAAGGCAAAUCUUCUGUGUUUCUGCCAACUUCUCAAUAUAGACUGUGUUGCAAAAAUAUUAUACUGAUGCCUUAUUUGUUGCCAAGAAAGUUACAAUUUCAGAACUUUCUGACCAAAGGGAAAUAAAGGAAAGGGAGCUUCAAGCACUUGAGAGGAAGGGGAUGUUCAAGGCGAUGAAGCGAGUAUUGAAAACCCAGGAAAGGGAAUCUGGAGGGGAAACUAAAAGAGCAAUAAAGCUUUAUGACACUUCUCUUUUCCAUGUUUCAUCUAUCAAACAAGACCUCCUUACCCUAGGACCAAAGCAAAAUGACUUCUGUAGGUCCUUUUUAUGAAGACGUUUCCAAACAUUUCCUUUGGAAAAAGCUUUCUAAUGCAAAUCUGCAGUUAAGAGGAUGAGCAUAUGCUGGCUUUUUCCCGCACGUGUGUGUGUGUGUGUGUGUGUGUGGGGGGGGGUGUGUAUGUGUGUGUGUAUAUGUGUGUGUACAAACACACGCAUGCUCACACACAUGCAGAUCCAACAGUUUGCACAGAAUUUGAGAAUAACUUCUGCUAUUUUUUUUGGUUUGGAAUGACAGUGUUUCCAUAGCAAUGUGGACUUGUGUUUUUGAGAGGCUAUUUUAAUGGGCCUUUGGCAAGCCAUGUACAAUCAUUACUUGCACAUGAAUCUGGCUUCUUUGGCACUAGUUUGUUAUAAAGGAAAUUCUAGGGUCACUGGAUUGGUGGGCUUUGGUGUAAAACCUUUAAGUCCCAUCUACAUCACGCAUCUGUGAUGAAACACAUCCUGCCUUCCUUUCAGUAUUUGUAGCUUAGCUGCCUCUCUGUGCCUGCCCAAUCCUGACCACAGAACAGCUGGAGGUACUAGGAGCAUGUAUUUGAUUUUUUUGGUCAACAGUGUGGGUAACAAAAUUACUUGCUGGACUUGCUGUUGUUUACAUUUUACUAUUUAAACUGUCUUCACGAAGGGCAUUUGUUCCCAGCUCAUGUGGUCCAAAGUCCCCAUUUGGUUGUCUGAAAAAGUCACUUUGAACCUUCACAGUCCUUUCGUGUCACUACAUCAAAUCAGACUGGCUUCUUUAUUCAUGCUUUCUUGUGAGCUAAAUCAAGU